AAGUCGUAACAAGGUCUCCGUUGGUGAACCAGCGGAGGGAUCAUUACCGAGUUUACAACUCCCAAACCCCUGUGAACAUACCUAUACGUUGCCUCGGCGGAUCAGCCCGCCGGAGGUACCCAAAACUCUUGUUUAACUAAAAGGCCUCUCUGAGUACUGUACUUAAAUAAGUCAAAACUUUCAACAACGGAUCUCUUGGUUCUG
Molecule: unclassified non-coding RNA, 204 nt
Filed under: Cercophora samala
Lineage: Eukaryota; Fungi; Ascomycota; Sordariomycetes; Sordariales; Lasiosphaeriaceae
Description: partial internal transcribed spacer region
Rfam family: Eukaryotic small subunit ribosomal RNA (bases 1-46)
Source: RNAcentral